RNAcentral lists this ribosomal RNA (390 nucleotides) under Priestia aryabhattai B8W22. Its description in RNAcentral is "bacterial SSU rRNA". It matches the Rfam family "Bacterial small subunit ribosomal RNA", at positions 1055 to 1451 of the family's 1533-position model. The record is from RNAcentral. Lineage: Bacteria; Bacillati; Bacillota; Bacilli; Caryophanales; Bacillaceae.
CUCACCCGUGUCGUGAGAGGUGGGUAAGUCCGCAACGAGCGCCACCCUUGUUCUUAGUGCCAGCAUUUAGUUGGGCACUCUAAGGUGACUGCCGGUGACAAACGGAGGAAGGUGGGGAUGACCUCAAAUCAUCAUGCCCCUUAUGACCUGGGCUACACACGUGCUACAAUGGAUGGUACAAAGGGCUGCAAGACCGCGAGGUCAAGCCAAUCCCAUAAAACCAUUCUCAGUUCGGAUUGUAGGCUGCAACUCGCCUACAUGAAGCUGGAAUCGCUAGUAAUCGCGGAUCAGCAUGCCGCGGUGAAUACGUUCCCGGGCCUUGUACACACCGCCCGUCACACCACGAGAGUUUGUAACACCCGAAGUCGGUGGAGUAACCGUAAGGAGCUA